This is a long non-coding RNA of Xiphophorus maculatus (southern platyfish), 372 nucleotides long. RefSeq lists it as uncharacterized. NCBI's taxonomy places the organism in Eukaryota, Metazoa, Chordata, Actinopteri, Cyprinodontiformes, Poeciliidae. The record is from RefSeq and is a predicted model, not a curated record. The transcript is spliced from 3 exons.
GCGAUCCGGAGUUGGAUUUUAAAACAACAAACAUGCACACGCUCACAUCUGAUUGCAAUAUUAACUGCAAUCAGGUUUGAGAAUAAAGAACAACAAACACGUGCAUGUGUUUCAAAGAGACAGCUGAGAUGCCUUGGAGAAAGUCAGUCCACCAGGAGAAUACUAAUGAGCACAUGUGUUUCUGCGAACCAACUCCAGCACCUUAGCCACAUUGCUGAUGGAGCCGUCAGUGAUGAUAAAGACCUGCCGUGGAUAUGAACGCUGCAUGGGCUGCUGGUAGAGCCAGGACAGCGCCCCCUGAAGGCCAGACAUCCCGCAGCAGCAUCUCCACUCCUGGCCGCUCCCAUAGUGUCCAUCAAGACCAGAUCCAGG